CAGCCGCCGCGGUAAUACGUAGGGUGCGAGCGUUAAUCGGAAUUACUGGGCGUAAAGCGUGCGCAGGCGGUUUCGUAAGACCGAUGUGAAAUCCCCGGGCUCAACCUGGGAACUGCAUUGGUGACUGCAAAACUGGAGUGCGGCAGAGGGAGAUGGAAUUCCGCGUGUAGCAGUGAAAUGCGUAGAUAUGCGGAGGAACACCGAUGGCGAAGGCAGUCUCCUGGGCCUGCACUGACGCUCAUGCACGAAAGCGUGGGGAGCAAACAGGAUUAGAUACCCCCGUAGUCCCUGUCUCUUAUAC
RNAcentral lists this ribosomal RNA (301 nucleotides) under uncultured bacterium. Its description in RNAcentral is "partial 16S ribosomal RNA". It matches the Rfam family "Bacterial small subunit ribosomal RNA", at positions 509 to 807 of the family's 1533-position model. The record is from RNAcentral.